CAGGGGUUAGUUUAUUAAAAUGCCGGUUUUGGGGAUCGAAGAUAGAAAUUUUUCUACCCCUGA
RNAcentral lists this transfer RNA (63 nucleotides) under Epacromius coerulipes. RNAcentral describes it as "tRNA-Pro". Lineage: Eukaryota; Metazoa; Arthropoda; Insecta; Orthoptera; Acrididae. The record is from RNAcentral.